RNAcentral lists this ribosomal RNA (266 nucleotides) under uncultured Staphylococcus sp. RNAcentral describes it as "partial 16S ribosomal RNA". It matches the Rfam family "Bacterial small subunit ribosomal RNA", at positions 96 to 355 of the family's 1533-position model. Lineage: Bacteria; Bacillati; Bacillota; Bacilli; Caryophanales; Staphylococcaceae. The record is from RNAcentral.
CGGCGGACGGGUGAGUAACACGUGGAUAACCUACCUAUAAGACUGGGAUAACUUCGGGAAACCGGAGCUAAUACCGGAUAAUAUAUUGAACCGCAUGGUUCAAUAGUGAAAGACGGUUUUGCUGUCACUUAUAGAUGGAUCCGCGCUGCAUUAGCUAGUUGGUAAGGUAACGGCUUACCAAGGCAACGAUGCGUAACCGACCUGAGAGGGUGAUCGGCCACACUGGAACUGAGACACGGUCCAGACUCCUACGGGAGGCAGCAGCC